RNAcentral lists this unclassified non-coding RNA (384 nucleotides) under uncultured bacterium. RNAcentral's name for it is "contains 16S-23S intergenic spacer region". The record is from RNAcentral.
UCCGGUUUAACACCGGCAGUCUCCCUAGAGUCCCCGGCAUGACCCGCUGGCAACUAAGGACAAGGGUUUCGCUCGUUAAGGGACUUAACCCGACAUCUCACGACACGAGCUGACGACAGCCAUGCAGCAUCUGUGCACGUUGUACCCGAAGGCCUGGCUCCUGUUUCCAGGAGUUAAUCCGUGCAUGUCAAGACUAGGAUAAGGUUCUUCGCGUAGCCUCGAAUUAAGCCACAUCAUCCACCGCUUGUGUGAGCCCCCGUCAAUUUCUUUGAGUUUCAGCCUUGCGACCAUACUCCCCAGGCGGGGCACUUACUACGUUAGCGACGGCACUCAGAGGGUCGCUCCCCCAAGCACCUAGUGCCCAUCGUUUACGGCGUGGACUAC